UAGAGUUUGAUUAUGGCUCAGAUUGAACGCUGGCGGCAGGCCUAACACAUGCAAGUCGAGCGGCAGCGACAACAUUGAACCUUCGGGGGAUUUGUUGGGCGGCGAGCGGCGGACGGGUGAGUAAUGCCUAGGAAAUUGCCCUGAUGUGGGGGAUAACCAUUGGAAACGAUGGCUAAUACCGCAUGAUGCCUACGGGCCAAAGAGGGGGACCUUCGGGCCUCUCGCGUCAGGAUAUGCCUAGGUGGGAUUAGCUAGUUGGUGAGGUAAGGGCUCACCAAGGCGACGAUCCCUAGCUGGUCUGAGAGGAUGAUCAGCCACACUGGAACUGAGACACGGUCCAGACUCCUACGGGAGGCAGCAGUGGGGAAUAUUGCACAAUGGGCGCAAGCCUGAUGCAGCCAUGCCGCGUGUAUGAAGAAGGCCUUCGGGUUGUAAAGUACUUUCAGUAGGGAGGAAGGUUCAUGCGUUAAUAGCGUAUGGAUUUGACGUUACCUACAGAAGAAGCACCGGCUAACUCCGUGCCAGCAGCCGCGGUAAUACGGAGGGUGCGAGCGUUAAUCGGAAUUACUGGGCGUAAAGCGCAUGCAGGUGGUUAGUUAAGUCAGAUGUGAAAGCCCGGGGCUCAACCUCGGAAUUGCAUUUGAAACUGGCUGACUAGAGUACUGUAGAGGGGGGUAGAAUUUCAGGUGUAGCGGUGAAAUGCGUAGAGAUCUGAAGGAAUACCGGUGGCGAAGGCGGCCCCCUGGACAGAUACUGACACUCAGAUGCGAAAGCGUGGGGAGCAAACAGGAUUAGAUACCCUGGUAGUCCACGCCGUAAACGAUGUCUACUUGGAGGUUGUGGCCUUGAGCCGUGGCUUUCGGAGCUAACGCGUUAAGUAGACCGCCUGGGGAGUACGGUCGCAAGAUUAAAACUCAAAUGAAUUGACGGGGGCCCGCACAAGCGGUGGAGCAUGUGGUUUAAUUCGAUGCAACGCGAAGAACCUUACCUCUCUUGACAUCCAUAGAACUUAGCAGAGAUGCUUUGGUGCCUUCGGGACUAUGAGACAGGUGCUGCAUGGCUGUCGUCAGCUCGUGUUGUGAAAUGUUGGGUUAAGUCCCGCAACGAGCGCANCCCUUAUCCUUGUUUNCCAGCGAGUAAUGUCGGGANCUCCAGGGAGACUNCCGGNGAUAANCCNGANNAAGGUGGGGACGNNNUCAAGUCNUCAUGNCCCUUGCGANUAGGGCCACACACGUGCUACAAUGGCGUAUACAGAGGGCUCCCACCCAGCGAUGGUGAGCGAAUCCCAAAAAGUGCGUUGUAGUCCGGAUUGGAGUCCGCAACUCGACUCCAUGAAGUCGGAAUCGCUAGUAAUCGUGGAUCAGAAUCCCACGGUGAAUACGUUCCCGGGCCUUGUACACCCCGCCCGUCACACCAUGGGAGUGGGCUACAAAAGAAGUGGNUAGUUUCCCCCUUGGGAGGACGCUCACCACUUUGUGGUUCAUGACUGGGGUGAAGUCGUAACAAGGUAGCGCUANGGGAACCUG
This 1526-nucleotide ribosomal RNA is filed under the name Vibrio sp. F 10. RNAcentral's name for it is "bacterial SSU rRNA". It matches the Rfam family "Bacterial small subunit ribosomal RNA". The record is from RNAcentral. Lineage: Bacteria; Pseudomonadati; Pseudomonadota; Gammaproteobacteria; Vibrionales; Vibrionaceae.